Molecule: transfer RNA, 82 nt
Filed under: Rhodovulum steppense
Lineage: Bacteria; Pseudomonadati; Pseudomonadota; Alphaproteobacteria; Rhodobacterales; Paracoccaceae
Description: tRNA-Leu
Rfam family: tRNA
About the family: Transfer RNA (tRNA) molecules are approximately 80 nucleotides in length. Their secondary structure includes four short double-helical elements and three loops (D, anti-codon, and T loops).
Source: RNAcentral
GCGGGUGUGGCGGAACUGGCAGACGCACCAGAUUUAGGUUCUGGCGCCGAAAGGCGUGGGGGUUCAAGUCCCUCCACCCGCA